GAAGCUGACCAGACAGUCGCCGCUUCGUCGUCGUCCUCUUCGGGGGAGACGGGCGGAGGGGAGGAAAGUCCGGGCUCCAUAGGGCAGGGUGCCAGGUAACGCCUGGGGGGGAAACCCACGACCAGUGCAACAGAGAGCAAACCGCCGAUGGCCCGCGCAAGCGGGAUCAGGUAAGGGUGAAAGGGUGCGGUAAGAGCGCACCGCGCGGCUGGUAACAGUCCGUGGCACGGUAAACUCCACCCGGAGCAAGGCCAAAUAGGGGUUCAUAAGGUACGGCCCGUACUGAACCCGGGUAGGCUGCUUGA
RNAcentral lists this RNase P RNA (305 nucleotides) under Escherichia coli. RNAcentral's name for it is "partial RNase P RNA component class A". It matches the Rfam family "Bacterial RNase P class A", at positions 1 to 283 of the family's 367-position model. From Rfam's summary of the family: Ribonuclease P (RNase P) is a ubiquitous endoribonuclease, found in archaea, bacteria and eukarya as well as chloroplasts and mitochondria. Its best characterised activity is the generation of mature 5'-ends of tRNAs by cleaving the 5'-leader elements of precursor-tRNAs. Lineage: Bacteria; Pseudomonadati; Pseudomonadota; Gammaproteobacteria; Enterobacterales; Enterobacteriaceae. The record is from RNAcentral.